AUGGCUCAGUGAGGCCUUCGGACUGGCUCAGGGAGGUCGGCAACGACCACCCAGAGCCGGAAAGUUGGUCAAACUCGGUCAUUUAGAGGAAGUAAAAGUCGUAACAAGGUCUCCGUAGGUGAACCUGCGGAGGGAUCAUU
RNAcentral lists this ribosomal RNA (140 nucleotides) under Ramularia eucalypti. Its description in RNAcentral is "partial 18S ribosomal RNA". It matches the Rfam family "Eukaryotic small subunit ribosomal RNA", at positions 1693 to 1830 of the family's 1831-position model. RNAcentral also lists the same sequence under 1 other name. Lineage: Eukaryota; Fungi; Ascomycota; Dothideomycetes; Mycosphaerellales; Mycosphaerellaceae. The record is from RNAcentral.